AGCAGCCGCGGUAAUUCCAGCUCCAAUAGCGUAUAUUAAAGUUGUUGCAGUUAAAAAGCUCGUAGUUGAAUUUCGGGGUCAGUAGGUCGGUCGUGCCACAGGUAUGCACUGGUCUCACUGAUUCCUCCUUCCUGAUGAACCGUAAUGCCAUUAAUUUGGUGUUGCGGGGAGACUGGACUGUUACUUUGAAAAAAUUAGAGUGUUUAAAGCAGGCUAACGCUUGAAUACAUUAGCAUGGAAUAACGGAAUAGGACGUUCGAUCUUAUUUUGUUGGUUUCUAAGAUUGACGUAAUGAUUAAUAGGGAUAGUUGGGGGCAUUAGUAUUCAAUUGUCAGAGGUGAAAUUCUUGGAUUUAUUGAAGACUAACUACUGCGAAAGCAUUUGCCAAGGAUGUUUUCAUUAAUCAAGAACGAAAGUUAGGGGAUCGAAGACGAUCAGAUACCGUCGUAGUCUUAACCAUAAACUAUGCCGACUAGGGAUCGGAUGAUGUUAAUUUUUAAUGACUCAUUCGGCGCCUUAC
RNAcentral lists this ribosomal RNA (520 nucleotides) under uncultured Glomus. RNAcentral describes it as "SSU rRNA". It matches the Rfam family "Eukaryotic small subunit ribosomal RNA", at positions 569 to 1091 of the family's 1831-position model. The record is from RNAcentral. Lineage: Eukaryota; Fungi; Glomeromycota; Glomeromycetes; Glomerales; Glomeraceae.